CUGUGUGUGCGUGUGUGUCUGUGCGUCUGUGCGUCGCUGUUGGCUGCCGAUUCCGCCUACGUCCAAGGCGGCCGCAAGAGUAGAGUACACAGGCACAUCCGCAAAAAAAAAAACGAAUAGCGGCGUCUGCCCUCCCCCCUCCUCACUCUUUCCUGCUGACGCACACACGCGUACACGCGUGCACGCAGUCUCUUCAGUGGUCAGCAAUAUCCCCUCCACCGCCUACUCCACUGCUGCAAAACACAUCGACGCGCCGUCCUCGGAAUAACGGAAAGCGCGGGUCGAUAAGAGGCAGUGCAAAUUUGAGCGCGUGUGUGUAUAUGCGUGGAUCUCUCUUCCUCGCAUGUUUUGCACUCCCCCUGAUCCAUGUCCUCGACUCUUGUGGCCGUGUACGAGCAGGCAUGUAGCGAUGCCGCCGUGCUGCCCAACUCGGCGCUGGCCCGUUGCUUCGCCGCCGCCGAGCAAGCUAUGCCGCUGCGGGUAUUGUCCCUCAGCACGAACCUUAUCGGGCCGCGUGGGCUAGUAGCGCUCUUACCUGUGCUACGCGAGUGUCGGCACACCUUGCACACUCUCGACCUCAGCCACAACAGCCUCGGCAACGCAACCAUUCGGCAGCUGGUGCUGUGCUUUUCAAACGGCUGCUUUUCCGCACUGCGCCGACUGGAGCUGCGCGGCAACCUGCUCACCUAUCAGGGUGGCAAGUGCCUUGUCCACUGGUGUGAGGGGCUGCGCACAGUGAGGCAAACACACGGCACGCGGCUACCCGGCGUUGGUGAGGUGGAGGGCAGAAGCGCUGAUUCCCUCGCGUCCGCCGCGCCAUCUGGCGCGCCAGCGUCGCCUCUUUGCUGCCCUGAGUACUGGUGUGAUGCGGCAGAUGUUCACAUCGACUACAUCGGCAUCGAAGACACCGCCAUGCCGGAGAUGUUGCAGAGGGCUCUCCUUCAGCGAAUCACGGACGCCAUGGCGCGUCGUGAGGCGCGUCGGCUGGGUCACAGCUCGCAGCGACGCAGUCUCAGUUGCGUAGUGACACGCGAGUCGGGUCCCGUGGCAGACACAUCCGGCGCGGCCGACUCUCCACGACAGUUCUCGGCGGAUGCCGAGAGUGUAAAGGUACCUGUCCUUGAUGGCCCCCCGAUCACGGGUACGGCGCACCCCUUCGCACGGAGCCCGGCCGACUUUUUCAUGGACGACAAUGGCGAGCCGCAACACAGCGACGGCAUGAAGGUCGACGCCGCCGUUGGUUUCGAAGCAGUCGCCGUCACAGAGGCUCGUGAGACAGACGUUCCUUGCUUUCUCCAAGAUGAUAUCGGCGUGGAUGUCCUUCAAAAACCUGCCCACGAUUACGCCAGCGCCGAUGACAGCGUUUCAGGUGGGGCGGAGGAGUUGAAGGACGUCAGGGACGGCAACGGCUAUCACAGCGACAACAGCCCCGCUGCCGGGGUCGCUGGCACGCUCUUGAGUGACAACGCAUGUACAGAUCAGCGGUCCUUGGGAAUGCACUGGCGAUCGGGCUCCGUGGCAGAAACGUUGCCCUUUCCAGACCACCCCAUGAAAGAGGGCAGCGGGGCUGAUGCGCGGUGCGCGGUAUCGUGUUUGCGUUCGACAGCGUCGCCGCCCAUGUCCCCCACUUCUGCGGACGGCUUUGCUUUGUACGCCGCCGAGCCUUCAGAAGCAGCAGCAGCACAGCAGCAGCAGCAGCAAGAGGAAGUGGAGCGCUACCCUCCUCCUCCGCUAAAGACUGCCUCGAACAUCUUGGAUGAGUUGGGGCUUGAAGCUGUCGCCGAAACAGCUGGCGGCGGCGGCGGUGGUGGUGGUAUGGAGGAGGAUGUCGAUGCAGUGCCUAUGUGGCUCGAGGAGCUGUAGCGUGCUAUCAAAUGUUUUGGUGUGCGACUCUUGUGUGCAACUCGAGUCGAGCUUGUCUCAGGUGCUGCAAGGUGGUGUGCCUUCUCUGCCGACUACCGUCUUGGCUGCCUUUAAUAGCUGCCUUUCCUUUUUCGCUCCAUACCCCUCCCAACCCGCCCCCGUGUCGGAUCACGUGUACUCACUGACGAUGACCACCGCCGCUGUACAUGUGUUGCACAGCCCACCCACCCAUCCCCCCCCCGCCCUGCCCUGCCCAUCUCGCUGCCUUGUGUAUCGCCUCCUCUUCUGCUUUGUUGGCGCAACGGUUGUGCUCGUUGUCCCCCCUCCCCUCCCUGCAUGUAAAGCGCCCGCACCCGCGCACAUCCUCGUCCUUUUUUCUCGUGACGACCAUGUAUGCUGUUGCCAGCACCACCGCCACAUCCUUUCGUGUUUGCUUCUGCUCUUCGUGUUUAUGUGUGUGUGUGUGUACUGCUCUGUCUG
Molecule: unclassified non-coding RNA, 2343 nt
Filed under: Leishmania donovani
Lineage: Eukaryota; Euglenozoa; Kinetoplastea; Trypanosomatida; Trypanosomatidae
Description: gene:LdHU3.21.1780(CDS-product:hypothetical_prote in_conserved)
Source: RNAcentral